AUGGUAUCAUCAUCACUGAACCUGCAUGGUUUCUGUAGCAGAACUAAAAUAAAAUUUUACCCAAAUAAAUGUGAACAUUGGGACAUUUAUACAACAAAAACUGAAUCUAAUACCAAUAUUGAACUUGCAGGUUCCAUACAUAAGCUAGCUACCAACGUCAAAUUUACAGAUCCUAAAAUCAAUCACCACCACAAGAAGACAAUAAAGUUCUCCAAAUGGUUGCUCGAGGAAGAGCUAGCUGCUGAAUCCGACUACAUUUACCGCUGGGAGCAGCCAACCACUAGUGCACAAGAGAUAUUUCUCGCACCUGAGAAUCAAACCAAACUUUGA
Molecule: ribosomal RNA, 330 nt
Filed under: Triticum aestivum (bread wheat)
Lineage: Eukaryota; Viridiplantae; Streptophyta; Magnoliopsida; Poales; Poaceae
Description: partial small subunit ribosomal RNA
Source: RNAcentral